UUUAAGCCCCGCCUCUCUCUGCGUUUGCAGAGCGCAUGCGUCCUGCUGAGAUCUAAGCUGAUUUUGUUGGUUGGGAGUUGGACUCUGUGUCGGAGAGGUUUGUGGCUUGUUCUGCUCCACGCCAGAGUUUGCAAUACUGUAUAGGAUGCAGCUGCUGUACUAGGCGCCCUCGGAACGUUUACUUUCUAUUAUCUUGUAAUACAGCUGUAUAUGCACUUACAUUCUCUCCCCAAGCCGGACGGUGGAACUUUAGAGAACAAGACCUUGCAUUCACAGGCCAGAGAUUGACACAGGAAAUCGGGCCCUUAUUUUCAGAGUGGACAGUCAAGUUUUCCAGAGGCUACAAGACAUGUGUGGACAUUACCGCUCUAACGGCCAACGGAAUUGUGUUUUAAACAUUUCUGUUUUAACAUUCAUGGGGAGUAAGGGGACUGAGGCUCAGAGAGGCGAACUCAACGCAGACACAAAACUCAACGCUCGAAGAGGCUCAUAGUGACCUCUGACCCGGAGCCUGUGUUGUUAACCUGUACAGGAGCAGGGGUUGUCAACUGUUUCCUGAUCCUUGGCCCCCAACUUUGCCUCAGAGCCGUGACUCUCCCCCUCCAACUUCAGGAUUUUUCCAGAGGAGCAAAAUCUCAUGCACCAUUUGGACGAAAAUAUUUUUGGCUGGUGUUCCCACCCCCUGUUCCCGUUGGAGUCCAGUCCCCAAUGUCAUGCAGCCUGGAGUGGGAGCAGCUCAAAAAUUCCCAAGGAUAAAUUUUAUGGUAUGUAUAUUUUACAACAAUAAAAAUUCCCAAGGGGCGGCAUCCUGCAUCCUCCGCCUUCUGCCACCAUGUUAUAUCACAGUGUGUGGGGCUGACGUCACAGGGACGGGGCGUGGGUUCUGCUGUAGCUGUCUGUUCUCUCUGCUCCUGGCUCUCCCUUCCAGCUCUGCGCUCUGCGCUCUGCCAGGGCCGCCCGCAGGCCUUGCUUGCUUUUUCAAAAAUAACUCUUGAGUCUCUCACGGAGGUGGGGGGCCGCUUCCUUGGUGUCCUGGGCUGUGUGUUAAUCCUUCCAAGGCAAGACUUCCUGAAGCGACUCUCUGCUGGGCUGGGGGGCUGGUCAUCAGUCGUCAGGCUGAAGUAGUUCAGGUGCCGGCAUCCUGUUCUAGCACCUAUUACCUUCAAGGAAGUAGGGCUAAUGGGUCUUCUCGGGCACCCACUAAGUCAUUCAUUCAUUCAUUCAUUGAUUCAGACAUUCAACGAGCAUUUAGUCAGGCCCUUUGCCUACAGAGCACACUUCUGGGUGGCUGCUGUUUUUCCAUUUGCUUCUGAAUCCUGUCCCUGCUUCUCUGAAUUUCUGCUUCCUCCUCUAAAGUAGGGGAUCUUAAUUAGGGUAGCCAGUCAGGCUCAGAAGGAAACAGAUGGCAUACUCAAAUUGGGUAACUUGAGGAAGGGCAAAUAAAGGGACUGUUUAGGUGUGAGCAGGGUGUAGAGAAGUCCUGAGGGAUAGUGUAGUGCUGAGCUAGCUAGUUACGGUGGGAGACCUGUCACUUCCAAGGCCUGGCGGGCUGAGGGGGCAGUUCCACUACCCAGAAGGAGGUCUGUGGAGAGAGAGCCACUUUUAGAGAAUCUGUGACCUUCUGUUGGACGCAGGAGCCUGAGGUGCUCUGCAGGGAGGGAGCAGAGGAAUAAAUAUCCCGGUCUUCCUUCUUCCUUCCAUCUCCUCCUGGGGGGCUCCCCACUGGCCAAACCUGAUUAAAAGCCAAAAAAUAUGGGAGACUGUUGCAUGUGAACAGGUCAGUCUCCUUGGGCACAGAGCAGGGCAGAAAAGGGAGGACAGUGGCUCUAGACGGACAAACAGGAUAUCCAGCUUGUCACCUACCACUGGCAAUAGUAUUGUAGGUCACAUGAUAAAUGCUCAGUAAGUGUUAGCUACUAUCAUCAGUGCUUGUAUUAGUUAUUUACUGCUGUGUAACUAAUGACCACGAAACUUAGUGGCUUGAAACAAUAAACAUUUAUCACCUCACACAGUUUCUGUGGGUCAUGAAUUUGGAGCAGCUCGGCUGGGUGGUUCUGUCUCAGUGUCUCUCCCGAGGUCGCAAUCAAGCUGUCAGCCAGUCAUCGAAAGGCUUGACUGGGACUGAAGGAUCCCGUGGCUGGCAAGCUGGCACCGGCUGUUGGCAGGGGGCCUCGAUUCUCUGCCACCCAGACCUCUCCACAGGGCUGCUUGAGAGUCCUCAUGAUGUGGCUUCUCCCAGAAAGAGUGAUGCAAGAGCAGAAGGCUCAAUGUGUUUUCUGACUUAGUCUCAAAAACCACAGAUGGUCAUUUUGACAAUAUCCUCUAGGUGACACAGGUCAGAGCCUAUUCCAUGUAGAGGGGGCCACACGGGGGCAGGGGUGUCAGGCAGCAGGACUCAUUGGAAACCUUCUUUGAGUUUGGCUACCACCCUUUGCAAUACAUUUGCUCAUUUCAUCCUUUCAAAAAUUCCAUGAGGUUAUCUAAAAACAACAGCAACAAACAAAAAACAAAACAAAAAAUGAGGAAAGUAUUAUUAUUCUAACUUUUCUGUUGAGGAAAUAUAGGCACAGAAAAGUGACAUAAUUUACCCAAGGUUACAGUUAGUAAUAGGCAAAGCCAGGAAUUGAACGCAGGUGGUCUUUUUAUUAAAAAAAAUCAAUUUUAAUUGGGCUCUAAUUUACAUACAAUAAAAAACACUCCGACGGAGAUACAGGAUGUUUCCAUCCUGCCAAUUUUUCUUCAUGCCCUUUUGCUGUCAGUCCUCCCGGGCUCUGCUCCAGGCAGUCACUGAUCUGCUUUCUGUCACUAUAGAUUUCUUUCUUUUUUAUUGCUGAAUAGUAUUCAAAUGCAUAGAUAUAGCACCAGUCCUUGACAUAAUUCUCCUGUUGAGUGACAUUUGGGUUGUUUCCAGUUUGGGGCUAUUAUGAAUAAAGCUGCGGUGAACCUCAUGUAAAAGUCUUUGUGUGGACAUAUGUUUUCAUUUUUCUCAGGUAAACAACUAGGAGUGGAAUUGCUAAAUCAUAGGAUAAGUGUAUAUUUCACUUCAUAAGAAACUGCCAAAGUUUUCCAACGUAACUGUACCAUUUUACAGUUCCACCAGGAGUGUAUGCGAGUUCUGGUUUUUCAGUAUCCUCACCAGCAUUUUGUAUCAUCAGUCUUGUUAAUUUUAACCAUUCUAAUCUGUGUGUA
Hipposideros armiger (great roundleaf bat) is the source of this 3189-nucleotide long non-coding RNA. RefSeq lists it as uncharacterized. The record is from RefSeq and is a predicted model, not a curated record. The transcript has 4 exons. Lineage: Eukaryota; Metazoa; Chordata; Mammalia; Chiroptera; Hipposideridae.